RNAcentral lists this ribosomal RNA (253 nucleotides) under uncultured bacterium. RNAcentral describes it as "partial 16S ribosomal RNA". It matches the Rfam family "Bacterial small subunit ribosomal RNA", at positions 524 to 776 of the family's 1533-position model. The record is from RNAcentral.
UACAGAGGUCUCAAGCGUUGUUCGGAAUCACUGGGCGUAAAGCGCACGUAGGCGGCUUACUAAGUCAGGGGUGAAAUCCUGGAGCUCAACUCCAGAACUGCCUUUGAUACUGGUAAGCUCGAGUCCGGGAGAGGUGAGUGGAACUGCGAGUGUAGAGGUGAAAUUCGUAGAUAUUCGCAAGAACACCAGUGGCGAAGGCGGCUCACUGGCCCGGUACUGACGCUGAGGUGCGAAAGCGUGGGGAGCGAACAGG